Molecule: ribosomal RNA, 253 nt
Filed under: uncultured bacterium
Lineage: Bacteria
Description: partial 16S ribosomal RNA
Rfam family: Bacterial small subunit ribosomal RNA
Source: RNAcentral
UACGGGGGGUGCAAGCGUUAUUCGGAAUUACUGGGCGUAAAGAGCGCGUAGGCGGCCCUGUAAGUCGAAUGUGAAAGCCCGGGGCUCAACCCCGGAAGUGCAUUUGAAACUACAGGACUUGAGUAUGGGAGAGGGAAGUGGAAUUCCUGGUGUAGAGGUGAAAUUCGUAGAUAUCAGGAGGAACACCGGUGGCGAAGGCGACUUCCUGGACCAAUACUGACGCUGAGGCGCGAAGGCGUGGGGAGCAAACAGG